GCGCACUUUGUCAGCACAUACACUAAAUUUAGGAUGACACAGAGAAGAUUGGCAUGGCCUCUGCACAAGGAUGGUAGGCGACUCUGUGAAACAUUCCAUAGUUUC
This is a small nuclear RNA of Grammomys surdaster, 105 nucleotides long. Lineage: Eukaryota; Metazoa; Chordata; Mammalia; Rodentia; Muridae. The record is from RefSeq and is a predicted model, not a curated record.